Molecule: long non-coding RNA, 2492 nt
Organism: Macaca mulatta (Rhesus monkey)
Lineage: Eukaryota; Metazoa; Chordata; Mammalia; Primates; Cercopithecidae
Source: RefSeq, a predicted model, not a curated record
CUAUGUGUCUGUGUGCUUGCGUGUCUGUCACUGUGUCCGUGCGUCCGUGUGUCUGUGCAUAUGUGUGUCUGUGUACGUACACAGCUGAUCCUCUGGACACCGAGGAGGAGACACAGUGGGGAUUCUGGAUCCAGCAGGCUCCCUUCUUUGCAUCUCUCAAGCCUCCAACAACCCCCUUAGCGUCCGCCCAUGGUGUAAGAGGAGGCCGUCUGGAGUCCUAGGUGAUUCAGAGACUGGAAACCACCCCGCGGGGCCCCUGGAGGAACAAAAACCAGUUCCCAGCAAGUGCAGGUAAACCUGAGACGUGCCCUCAACCGCUGGCUUCUGCCACUGCUUUACUGGGUCAGCCAUGACCCAGUCAACAAGCUGCUACCUGAAGAGCAUUGACAGACUUGGGCCAUUCCCCUCCGUGGCGGGUGCUGCCGUCUUCCUGUCCACGUGAGUCCAGGGCCCUGCGGUGUGUGGGAGCAGCCAGGAGGGGCGGCUCAGCAGGACUGAGAUGAGAGACUAUCAGGUGUCCUGGGCGCGUUCUCACCAACAGCAGGUUCCCUUCCGUCCCCGCAUCUUCCCUCACCACCAAGCCCCUGUGCAGAGCCCAGACCCCACAAAGGCCCACCAGUCAUCACUGUCCACACGUGCAUCCGACGUGUAAGGUGGUGGGGACGAUGCUCAGACAGACGAGAAACCCCAGGGUCAGCCAGGCCGGCCUGUCCCACCUGAGCUGGGCGGAGACACCAAUGUCACCCCUCUUGCAGCCCCCAAAGCUUGCUCUCUGGCCGACAGCUGGCUUUUGAGCCAGAAGAUUGGUAACCCUGUUAGGAUCUGGCAGACCCGCCAGGGUGGCUCCCAACUCACCCACGUCCCGCCCUGAGGUCCUCUCCUCCCUCCCCACCCUGUGGCUACAUGGACUCUCCAUCCUGGAACACCGGGUACACACCUGACUCGCCUUUGCCUCGCCGUUCCCUCUGCCUGCGAUGCUGUUCCCCGGGCCACGCAGGCCUCCCUCGCUCCUGGCCUCCUCCAGUCUUUUCUCGGGGUCUUCUCAGCAAGGCCCCUCUGACAACCCCCUUCACUUUCCUAACCAGCACCCAGCAGCCUGUCUCCUCGUCUCUUACUGGAAUGUGUGUUCGCACGGCAGGGAUUUCCCCGCUGCUUUGCUGCGAUGGAUCCCCAGCGCCUGGAACUACUCUGGAGCCUUCGGUGUGGGGAUGAGGAAUUCUACUUCUAGGGCCCUGCCCUGGAGACAUAACGAACUGGUGGGGAAGAGUUUCAUCAUUUCAAAUGUUUGGCUGUGGUUUCUGUGACCUGUGGGUCUGGUUCCUCCACGGACGGAGCAGAUGUCAGCGGCCUUUGACUGGAGAAGGUCCUGGGUCUUGCAGGCUUCAGAGGCUUCUUGGUUUAUGUCGUGCCAAGAAAGCCGUGGCUGGGAACAGUUCCCUCCCUCGGUGUCUGCCUGUGGGGGCUCCCAGGAGUUUCUGGGCAGCCUCACCCCGCACUGCACUGGCCUCAGAGUCGGGCCUUCACUGACCAAGUCCCCGCCUCCUGCUGUCUUCACUGGUGCUGUUCUUUAUCUAUCUUUGGGUUCCUUUUAGUAUUUUUCCCCAAAUUUUCAGAUGAUGUGUCUGGUUGAUUGAAUGUGAGCCUUUCUUUCUUUCUAGGUAAAUGAUUCUGGUCUUCCUGGUGUGGUCGAGUCUUGCAGGUGCAGUGUGGGGGCAGCCAUGUGCCUUCCCUGGAGUGAGGAGUCCGAGCUCUCCUCUGUCUGUGCUCACGAUGGGGUCUGUGCUCCCCCAUGUCCUGCCCAGCAGAGACGGGGCCUCCUGCUCUCCACUCCCCCGUGUCCUGCCCAGCAGAGACGGGGCCUCCAGUGCUCCACUCCCACCCCCCAGCUCCUUCAGCGUGGACACAUCUCACCGUUACCCCGGAAUCCGUUCACAGUCACUGAGACGUGGCCGGCAGCUUUGCCGCCUUUGUGUUGGUUUUUGUCAACAUGCUGUUCUGUGUCCCACGCCAGCUGAGAGGCCCGUGGGGGUGGCUGGUGGGGGGAAGCUUGGCCUGCAGCCAUCAGGUUUGUGGAACAGUGUUGCAGCAGCCCCAGAAAACGAAUGCAUAUUUCUGCACCUUUUAAGAGCAAAGACAGGCUGGGCGCAGAGGCUCAUGCCUGGAAUCCCAGCACUUCAGGAGGCCGAGGCAGGUGGAUCACCCAAGUGUUCAGGUAGCCACAACUUGACCAUGGGGACACCUUGAACUGGCACUACCUCCUGUCUGCACCCAAGUCCCCACCAGCCUGUCCCUUUGACGACUCUGGGGUGGGUGUGGCAGGGACUGGGCAGAAGUGAGACUUUGACCUGGUGGGUGCACACGCAUAGGUGUAAAUCUAGCUCCAACAUCUUACAUGAGAAUGAUUUGAAUUCAAAUUCUUGAAUGGCCCACUCUGGAAUGUCAUCCCUCCUGUUAAUAAUUUCAUGACCAAUGCCAUUCUUUGUUUAGCUGAA